GGACCGAGCGGUGACUUAAGCAACGGAGUGCAGUGAAGCCCAUUAUUCUCCUUCCUAGCAGCCGCUCUGCGGAGCCUGUAGCGCGCGGCCCUCACACUCCGGCCCGAGAUGAAUGCCGCGGCAGAAGCCGAGUUCAAUAUCCUUCUGGCCACCGACUCCUACAAGGUUACUCACUAUAAACAAUACCCACCCAACACAAGCAAAGUUUAUUCCUACUUCGAAUGCCGUGAAAAGAAGACAGAAAAUGCCAAAGGAAGGAAGGUGAAAUACGAGGAAACAGUAUUUUAUGGGUUGCAGUACAUUCUUAAUAAGUACUUAAGAGGUAAAGUGGUGACCGAAGAGAAAAUCCAGGAAGCCAAAGAGGUUUACAAAGAGCAUUUCCAAGAUGAUGUCUUCAAUGAAAAGGGAUGGAACUACAUUCUUGAUAAACAUGAGGGGAAACUUCCAAUAGAAGUAAAAGCUGUUCCUGAGGGCUCUGUCAUUCCCAGAGGAAACGUUCUCUUCACAGUAGAAAACACAGACCCAGAGUGUUACUGGCUUACAAAUUGGAUUGAGACUAUACUUGUUCAGUCUUGGUACCCAAUCACAGUGGCCACAAAUUCAAGGGAGCAGAAGAAAAUAUUGGCCAAAUAUUUGUUAGAAACUUCUGGUAACUUAGAUGGUCUGGAAUACAAGUUACAUGAUUUUGGCUACAGAGGAGUCUCUUCCCAGGAGACUGCUGGCAUAGGAGCCUCUGCUCAUUUGGUUAACUUCAAAGGAACAGAUACAGUAGCUGGAAUUGCUUUAAUUAAAAAAUACUACGGAACAAAAGAUCCUGUUCCUGGUUAUUCUGUUCCAGCAGCAGAACACAGCACCAUAACAGCUUGGGGGAAAGACCAUGAAAAAGAUGCUUUUGAACAUAUAGUAACACAGUUUUCAUCAGUGCCUGUGUCUGUGGUCAGCGAUAGCUAUGACAUUUAUAAUGCAUGUGAGAAAAUAUGGGGUGAAGAUCUGAGACAUUUAAUAGUAUCAAGAAGUACAGAGGCACCACUAAUAAUCAGACCUGAUUCUGGAAAUCCUCUUGACACUGUAUUAAAGGUUUUGGAUAUUUUAGGUAAGAAGUUCCCUGUUACAGAGAACUCAAAGGGCUACAAGCUACUGCCACCUUACCUUAGAGUUAUUCAAGGGGAUGGAGUAGAUAUUAAUACCUUACAAGAGAUCUUAGAAGGCAUGAAGCAAAAAAAAUGGAGUAUUGAAAAUAUUGCCUUUGGCUCUGGUGGAGCUUUGCUGCAGAAGUUAACAAGAGAUCUCUUAAAUUGUUCCUUCAAGUGUAGUUAUGUGGUAACCAAUGGCCUUGGGAUUAAUGUCUUCAAGGAUCCAGUUGCAGAUCCCAACAAAAGGUCCAAAAAAGGUCGAUUGUCUUUACAUAGGACACCAGCAGGGAAUUUUGUUACGAUUGAGGAAGGAAAAGGAGCUCUUGAGGAAUAUGGUCAUGAUCUUCUUCAUACUGUCUUCAAGAAUGGAGAAGUGACAAAAAGCUAUUCAUUUGAUGAAGUAAGAGAAAAUGCAAAACUGAAUAUUGAACUGGAAGCAGCACCUCAUUAGGCUUUGUUUUAUGGCUCUGUGUGUGUAUGGAUGUGUACAUGUGUAUAUGUGCAUUGUACGCACGUAUACACUGUGUGUGUGUGUAAUGCAUAGAUAGUGUUUAUUGUACAUAUACGUGGGGUUUCUUUGUGUUUUAUGACACAUUACAGCCAAAUUAUUUGUUGGUUUAUGGACAUUCUGCCCUUUCAUUCUUUUCUCUUUUUUUCCAGUGUUUAGGUGAUCUCAAAUUAGGAAACACACUUAACCAUGUAACAGAUUAAUGCUAAAGUAAGCUUUUUAGGGCCCUUUGCCAAUAGAUAGUAAUUCAAUCUGGUAUUGAUCUUUUCACAAAUAACAGAACUGAGAAACUUUUAUAUAUAACAGAAGAUCACAUAAAACAGAUUUGCAUAAAAUUAUCAUGAUUGCUUUAUGUUUAUAUUUAACUUGUAUUUUUGUACAAACAAGAUUGUGUAAGAUAUAUUUAAAGUUUCAGUGAUUUAACACUCUUUCCAACUUUUCAUGAUUUUUAUGAGCACAGACUUUCAAGAAAAUACUUGAAAAUAAAUUACAUUGCCUUUUGUCCAUUAAUCAGCAAAUAAAACAUGGCCUUAACAAAGUUGUUUGUGUUAUUGUACAAUUUGAAAAUUGUCAGGAUAUACCCAAUAGAAUUACUAACCUCACUGCCCCUUGUAGAAUAUGUAUUAAUCAUUCUACAUCAAACAAGAUAAUGGUUGAUACUGGAAUGUUUAGGCACUGUACAGUGAUUAUGUACCUUGGUCGUUGUAUUGUACCAGUGAAAUGCCAAAUUUGAAAGGCCUGUACUGCAAUUUUAUAUGUCAGAUAUUGCCUCUGGCGCUAAUGUGCACCUCAAGAUUUUAAGGAUAUAAUGUUUUUAGAGAGAAUUUCUGCUUCCACUAUAGAAUAUAUACAUAAAUGUAAAAUAUUGACAGAAGUGGAAAUGGCAUAUUUUAAAGUAAUUACACUUCUGAAUUUAUUUUUCAUAUUCUGUAGUUGAUAUUUCUUAAAUGAAUUACUGGAGCUGGUAGUGAUUAUACUUAUUUUAAAAUGUUUUGAUUUUGUUACAUUUUUCAUUAAGUUUAAAAAAAAUUAAAUUGGAUAUUAAAUUGUAUGGGCAUCAUUUAUUAAUUUUAAACAUAAUCCCUCAAAUAAUACUCAAGCAAGUUUUCAUAUGAAUGUAAAUUACCCCCAUGAAACGUUUCAGUAGAAGAAUCUUAAAGCAGAAAGUUGGAUAAAUUCAAAUUGUUCGACUUUAGAGUAUCUGGAGUGAUUGACUGCUAGACUCUGAAAUAGUCAUUGUACUUGACUAGAGAACAGUUUUUUUCAGGCAACUUUUUUAUGUUUAGGUGUGUUCUUCUAAGGCAGGGGUUGGCAAGCCAAAUUCGGCCUGGUACCUGUUUUUGUAAACGUACAUUGUCUAUGGGCUACUUUCACAUUAUAACAGCAGAAUUAAAUGGUUACAGCAAAGACUAUAUGGCCUAAAAAGCCUAAGAGAUUAUUACCUGGCCUGUUACAGAAAAAGUUUGCUGACCACUGUUCUAAAAAAAGGAGUGUGCCUUGAAUUUUAAUGAACUGUUGGUUUGCAGGGAAGGGAGGAGGCUAAAUUGACAAUGGAAUUUUUCUCUUCUUUUGUCCUCUCUUUUUUCAUUUAGGAAUUUGAUAUUGAGAAACUAAUUUUAAAAAGCUUUAACAAUGUGAUAUUAAAUGUGAAGUUUUAAAAACUGAAAAGCCAUAAAUGAUCUGUUUUAAACAGUUACAUGAGAAAAUACUCUGCCACUAGAAAAAUUUAGUUAGAGGUGAAUUAUCUUUAUUAAAUGUCUUUUAUAAGAGGCAUUAGAAUAUAGGUUUUUGCAGGUGAUUCUAAAUACUUGUUUAGUGAGAACAAUGAGCGUUAUUCACAUUCAGUGAGAAUCUUCAUCCUGUAUCCCCUGGAUGAAAAAUAAUUUUAAGCUGGUUUUUUUAAAUAUAUUUAAGUAAAGAUUAGUGGUAUUAAGAACACAUCUUUUUUCACAAAAUGUGUUAAGGGUUUUAUCAUAGCGAAUUAAAAGAAACUAUAUUUAUUACCAAUAACAAUUUUGAUAAGCACCCAUAAUUUUGUAUUUGUUUAAACAGUAGAAUUACACUACAAACAGUAUUUGUGUUCUGUGAAUUUCAGGAGUUUUAGAAUAUCUGGAGGAGUUUUAUUUUGAAACUUUCAGUGAAUGCUAAAAGCCGUACAUUGUACAUGUUCACAGAUUGGGGUGGGAGGUGGAAUAAUUAAUUCUGUUAGGUCUUAGCCACUUGGAACUGAUUUAUCCUGAAUUUCUGCCACCACAGGCUUAGUAUUUGAUCACCCCCAUGCUGAGCACCAAAUGGUUAACAUGGAUAUCAAAUAGAACUCUGCCGUGUGUCACCCUUAAAUCAGCCUAAGUCUCCCAAACAAGAGCAAAUGGCGUGUAUGAGUUUGCUUAAGUCAUUAGAUUUGUAGUUGACAUAUUAAUUAAUCCCCCUCAAUUCAUAAUAACAUGAAGUAUUUAUAUUUUAAAUAGAAGGUCAGAGUUCUGUGUUAAGACUCAAAUUAUUUGUUCUCUAUAAAAGUAAAAUAGCUUUUAUGAUUAUCCCUUAUUUAAUUUCUUGAAAUAAAUUAUUUUUAAAAAAUUUAUAAUGAAAUCCAUCUUGGAAAAUUAGGAGAAAAAUGGCAAGGUAUUUAUUGUUCUGUUUGCCAUAAUUUAGAACUCACACUUAAAUAUUUUGUAGUUUUACAUUUCUUUUUAACCCAUUUAGGGGAGAAUGUUAACUUUCUCUGAAGUCGUAUGUCAAAUCAAUUCUAAUAUGUACUCAGAAUUAAAGAUAAACAUGUAAUAAACAUGGAAAUAAAGUUUAGCCAUAUUAGUGAAACAUUAAAUUUGACUGUGUGCUUCAAGUAAUGACAUUUUUAGACCUGCCUUUUUUAGGUAUUCUUCCAGUUCAAAGAAUUAGAGAAAGAGGAAGGUGUCAAGGAUGACUCCUAUUUUCUGCCUUAUGCAACUAUAUGGAUGGCACUACCUCUUACUAAGAGAGAACACUGGAGGGAGCCUUGAUUUUGGGAGAAAGAGCACAAUUCCUGUGUUAAGGUUUCCAAAGCCUUUGAGACAUUUAAAUGGAGAGAGUAAGUAGGUUGUUGGGUAUACAGGUUUGAGGACAGAGGAUACUUUCCUAGAGAGACUACAGAGCAGGGGUUAGUAAACCAUGGGCCUUAGGCCAAUUCCAACCCACGCUCUGUUUUUGUAAGUAAAGUUUUAUUGGAGCACUUAACUUUCAGUUAAGUAUUGUCUGGUUGUUUUCACACUACAGUAGGCAGAGUUGAGUAGUCACAGUGGAAGCAAUAUGGCCCAGAAAGGGCCAUAAUAAUUAACUAUCUAGUUCUUUACAGAAAGAGUAUGCUGGCUCUUGCUGUAGAGUAUAAAGAAAAGAGGACCUAGGACAAAACCAAGAGGAGCUCUUAACAUUUGAAGGUUAAGUGGCAGAGGAUAAAGAGGCAGAGGAGACUGACAAGUGGUGACCAAAGAGAUGAAAGGAAAGCCAGGUGGAGUAAAGCCCUGAAAACUAAAGGAAGGGCAUUUCUCAGCUCAGGUGUUGAAUGUUCUGAGAGGUCAAGUAGGUUUAGCCACAGGGAAAUAAUUGGUGGCCUUAGUGACAUUGCUCUCCAAGAAUGCUAAAAGCUGUACAUUGUGCAGGAGUUAGGAUUUUACCAGAUAAGUUUGAUAGAACAACAAAGAGGCAGGGGCGCUCAGUAUAGUAUAUUGGCAUGAGAGUUAUUGAAAUAAUGCUCCUACAGAGGCUAGCUGGAUAGGAACAGAAGUGAAGCCAGCACAAAGCCGUCUAAUGGACGGGAAAACUAGAAUUCCAGUGGACAGUCACAUGACAGUUGUAAUAUAUUGGGAGUAGUUGCACAAGCAGAUUUGGAGGAUAGAAAUUGUUGUCAAACUAGGAUGCUUGGAUUAAUAAUCUGAGAACAGCAGAUUCAUGGCAUGGUGAGAUGUGACUGUGCAGUGGCUGAAUGAAAUAAAGAUAAGUGGAACCAAGAUAGUAUUAAGGAACCUGAGAGGACAAGUGGGUUGUGCGGAUGGACGUUAAAAUCAUCCAGAAAGAUGGCAGAAGAUGGAAUGGAGAGGAAAACUAAGUCAGGUGCCAAAGCAUCCCGUGAGUGAAGGGGAGCAAUCAGAGCUGCAGGAGGCAGCAAUAAAGGAAGGGUGUGAGCCUCAAAAGAAUCAAGGAUUAUUCUAAGAACUUGGGGAAUUAAUGGUCAGGAAGUGGCGGUGGAGGCCACUAACCCUUUCAGUCCUGAGAAUGAGAUGAAAAGGCAAGCCAGCACAGCCUCUUUGAAGAGUUCAGGCAUUUAUUGACAAGUACAGACUGACUCAAAAGUUGUCUCAUAUGUUGUCAGUGGUUUGAUGCACCUUGCCGGGCAAUCAAGCAAUAUUAGUUGAAUUAAUGAAUGAAUGGAGAAGAAGUUUCGUCUGGGUUUUAUUGGCUGCUGCAAACACUCCUUUCAGUGGAAUAGGUCUAAGGCUCAAGGCCUUAAACAUGUUUUGUGUUGAAUGUUUAAAGAUUUACAUUUUGUUUAUCUUUUAAAGAGACCAGCCAAAGCAUUUUUGCAGCAUAGUAAAAUCAGUGAUACCUUGUUACCUCUUAUAUGUAUUCAGAUUCCUCCCUCCUCAUUUUAAAUUAUCUUUUUCUUUUAUUCAUAAGUUUCUGUAAUUGUUACUUGCCCCUAAAGCAAUUCUUUGUUUUACAAUUCCUCAUUCCAUUAAAACUUGUAUAUUAAAAUUUUUCCUUGGGGACUUCCAGCAAAAAAGAAAUAUGUUCUUGAAAGGAGUUUUAGAAUCACUGUAAUUAUCAACUUAAUCAAAGUUUUUUCACUAACACAGAAAUGGGUCCUUAAUAAAGGAAUUUUGCCUGCAUGCUGUCACAUGGGCUAAUGGACCCCUUGCAUUACUCUUGGUGACUUAAAUGGUAUAUUUCAAGGGACCUGAGGCUUUUACCUCUGUACAGGGCCCACACUGCUCUCUAGGUGAAUAAUGUAGUCUGGCAAGUAACUUUUCUACCAGUUCAUAGCAUUAUCUUUGUGCAGAAGAAUAUGAUUCUGAUUUACAUUGUUUUAUGUUCACCUUAGAAAAAAAGAAAUAUCACUCUUUGGUUGGCAACAAUUUGAUUUAAAAAUGCAGUAACCCUGGCCUGCUUUAUUUUUUUAAUUAUAUAAUUGGCUGCUGAGCUGUUUCUUCUUUGACAUAAACUAGGGAGUACAUUCUGUAUCUUUUAUUAAGAUGGAUUAGCUAUUGUGAUUAUGAGCUUUCCCAUAAAUUGGCUACAAAUUUAAUUCUGAUUCGGUCUUCCUGAACAGCCUGAAGAUUACCAGAUUUUUGACCCUGGAAGAAAACAGCUCUUACCUUCAGCCUCUGUCUUUCUACAGCUUUCUCCUCUCAUAAUAAACGUGUUCCUGUUUGUACCACCCUUAAAAAAUAAUAACUUUCUCUUGGUAACACUAGCCCUAGUCUUCCUUCUCUCAUUCAUAUCUGUACUUCUCAAGCUAUGUACAUUUACUCUUCAUUUACACACUCUCUCUCACAUGUACACACAUACACACUCUCACUCUGUCUCUCAUACAUACUCACAUUCAUACAUCUCCCAUCUGGUUCUCACCCAAACCUUUCUAAUGAUGCUUGUCUCAUUAAACAGUAACCUCCCCAAUUGCCAAAUGAAUGAAUUUAGUUUAUAUCUUACCAAAGGACCUCUUUUGCAUUUACCACUCUAGUAAUUCAUUCUUUAUCUUUCGUUGUAACAUUCUUGGGUCUUCUCCAUCUCUGUGAUGAUCCAGUCUCUCCCUUGGGCUCUUGAUACACUUGCCUUUUAAAUGUUGGCACAUCACAUUUCUCUCCAUAUUCACCUUGGCUGAUCUCAGCCAUCCACAUAGUCUUGACUAUCACUUACAUACUAAAGACUCCAUACACUUAAUAUCUCAAUAGAUUUUUGAACCUUUGAAUCUCUCUACUUGUCUAAUGCACAUUUCUAUCCAGAUGCCUACUGAAAUGGAACAAGACCAAACUUAUCACACUCCCUUUCUCAUUUGGAGAUUCAACCAGCCACCCAAGCAAGAAAUCUGGGUGUCAUCUUUGACUUCCCUCUCCAUUACCCCACAAAGAUCAAGAGCAACUCAAUCAUAACCCUGUAGUGGAGAGACCCACCAGGGAAGGCCAGAUUGACUUGAGGUUGAGACGGCACCACAUAUCCAACAAUUGAAAUCUUUUAAAAUGGUGAGCAUAAGCAUCUGCCCAAUCUAGGAUAACAUUAGUAGAGGGAUGACUGUAAAAAAAGGUAAAGAGAAAAAAAAGAUAAAGAGGUGAAUUUUAAGGCCUGGUUCAGAGUCUUGGGUCAACUGUCUGCCUCAGAUGUCAUCUGCUUCUGGCCACAGUGGCAUUUAAAUGUAACCUUCAAUUUUCCAGUGUGUUGGAGUCUUAGCCUUUUUUUAAUUGUGACAAAUAGAUCCAAGGUUUUAUUCCCUGUAAUCUGGCUGCACAUGGAUUAGUGAGGAGGACUAAAUAUGGUCCCUUCCAAUGAGGUUCUAAUGAGUCUUUUGUGUCUCUUCCAAUAUACACAUUCUUCUGGGGUUAUGUUAGGCAGACUUCGGCAGCCUAGUUUCUGUUUGUCAAAGGCUACAGUAACCUGUGAAAGAUAUUCUAAAAACUGGCAAUACUUCACUAAUUCAGGUUGAACAAUGUUAGGGUCAGUCCAGGCAACAUAAGGAAGGACCAUGGGUCUCCCAUAAUUAUUUCAUAGGAGUAAGUUUGUAAGAUUUAAAUGAUGUGGACCUCAGUUUUAAAAUAACUAAGGGAAGGACCUUAGUCCAGGAUAAAUUUAAAGUUUUGCAAAGCUUUGCUAUUUUCUAUAUAGGGACAAUGUAUCCUUUGAUAAAUGGGAAAAACUCAACACAGUUUUUGCAUGACUUGACUGGCGAAAUGAGUUUCCUGAUCACUACAAAGAGUUUUUGGUGCCCCCCAGGUGAGUAUGAUGUUUUCAAGAAGUUUUCUUUUCUACAAAGGCUGCAGUCGCAUGACAGCAGGGAAAGCCGUCUACCCAAUGUGAAAAUCUACAAAUCAUUACUAAUACAUGUUUAUAACCAUUUGAGGGUAGAAGCUGAAUAAAAUCUAGCUGCCAUUCAAGCAUAGGCCCAGAAGGUAGAGUAUUGUCCAGUGUCUUAGUUAUCUCGGGCUGCUAUAACAGAAAUACCACAAGUGGAUGGCUUUAACAAACAAAAUUUAUUCUCUCACAGGUUACCAAAACCAAUCAAACCCAUUGCUGCCAAGUAGAUUCUGAUUCCUGGUGACCCUAUAGGACAGAGUAGAACUGCCCCAUAGGGUUUCCAAGGAGCAACUCUUAGGUUUGAGCUGCUAAUCCUUUGAAUAGCAGCCAAACUCUUAAUCACUGCACUACCUGGGCUCCUCUCACAGUUUAGGAGGCUAGAAGUCUGAAUUUAGGGUACCAACUCCAGGGGAAGGCUUUCUCUGUCUUGGCUCUUGGGCAAGGUCCUUGUCAUCAAUCUUCCCCUGGGUCUAGGAGUUUCUCAGCACAGAGAUUCCAGGUCCAAAGGAUGCAUUCCACUCCUGGCUCUUCUUUCUUGGUGGUAGGAGGUCGCUCUCUCUCUGCUCACUUCUUUCUCCUAUUAUCUCUUGUAAGAUAAAAGGUCAGGCAGGCACACCCCAGGGGAAUUCACCUUACAUUGAAUCAGGGCUGUGACCUGAGUAAGGGUGUUGCAUCCCACCUUAAUCCUCAUUAACAUGAACUAAUCCUGCCUCGUUAACGUAACGGACAGCUCACUCCCAAAAUGAAGGAUAAUCAAACCACAAAAUGGAGGACUACCACGCAGUACUGGGAAUCAUAGCCUAGCCUAGUUAACACAUGUUUCAGGGGGACACAAUUCAAUCCAAGAUAUCCAGGAAGGACUUUAAGGUAUUUUCUGGGAUAGUAGCAAGGGCAAAUAGGGCAAUGGUGUUUAGCACCCUCCAAAAGUUUUCCCCACCAAUAUUUUUUAGGAUCUCAGUCAUUUAAUCUUGUCCCAUGUGGGACCUUCACAUGAGGCUCGCAUCAUAGAAACAUGCAGGAAAUUGGGUAAGACAGUUUUCUCAUUAGGCUCAGUCCACAAUUUAGUAGCAGGAUCUUGGUAAUAGCCUGACCUUUUCCGUGCCUUAAUUUCAUCUGUUUGGGAUAAUUGUUGGUGUUUUAAAAGUUUUUCUAAAGUUAGUUAAUGAAGGUUAACGUUAUCAAUAGACAAAUUUGGAGAGUCCUUUUCUUCAUUAAUCUUAAGUGCAGAAAUAACUGGAGAGGCAACUCAUUUGGCUGCCAUAUCAUCAAUACUAUUUCCUCCAGAUUCUUCAGUUUAGGGUAUUCCUUUUAGUUGGUGAGCUUGUAUUUUUAUCAAAGCAGUUUCAGAGGGGAGUAUCUAGAAGGUCUGCUACUAUAGCUCUAUUUUUUAAUGGCAUCUCUAGAAUCUUUGUUUCCAUAAUAUGCCAAAGUCAUGUACAAUUCCAAAACUCUAUCUACUCUCUAUAAAAAUAAUUUUUGAUUUUCCUGAAGCAAUUCUAUAAGCAGUAGUGAGGCAAUUAAUUUGGCUUAUUGGUUUGAAGUGGCUUCAGGGAGAGCCUGACUUUCAGCGGUUUCAGUAGAAGUAAUAACAGCAUAUCCAGCUUGAUAGUGAGGACUAGUAGGGUUAGGUUUUAAAUAGGAACCAUACACAAUAAAACUAAAUCAAGAUUAGUAAAGGAGUCUCGUUUAAGUCUUGCCAAGCAAUUAAAAGUUGCUCAGUCUAGUCUAGACAAUCAUGUGUAGGAUAGUUGUUCUCACUGGCGGUGGAGAGAAGAGUAGCUGGAUUUAAACAGGCCACAGAGUAUAGUCUACUGUUAGAUGCAGCCAGGAGGAGACCUUCAUAGGAGGCAAACCUUUUUGCAGAAAAAUACCGUGUCAAGGCAGAAUUAAGUAAGGCAGACACAGCUUGGGGCACAUGGACAUAUACAGAGUUUCCCAGUACCACAUCUGUUGUGGUUUCUACUAGUUUGGCAGUAGCAGCCACAGCCCUAAGUCAGGGAUGUCAUCCCCUGGCUACAGGUGAAGCUGUAGGGUAUAAUAACUUAUAGGUCUUUGUUGUCCCUCAUAUUUGUGAAUUAGUACAUCUAAGGCAUUUCCAGAUACUUCAUGUACAAAUAAGGAAAAAUCUAGAUACUAAUUAGGGAAACCUAGAGUAGGUAUGUUCAUUAAAGCCCUUUCUUGAACUACAGAUUCUCAAUCUUCUGGUGAAAUUUGGAAUAAAUUCAGCUCAGAGACUUUUAAAUAUUUGUAUAAAAGUUGAGCCAACAAAGAAAAAUCGGAAAUCCAGGUUCAACAAUAGUCUCAGAGUCUUAGAAACCCCUGUAGCUGUUUCUUUGUUUCUGGUAUAGGAAAGACAAGAAUAACUUCUUUUGUUUAGAAUAAAUAGAGGUGCCUUUUGUAGAAAUUAGGUGGCCCAAAUAUUUAACAGAAAGAUGAGCCAACUGUAAUUUUUCGCUGGAUACCUUAUAUGUACCAACAGCCAGAUGUUUUAAUAAAGCUAUACUGUCAUCUUGGUAAUGCUCCUUAGAACCAAGGAUAGCGAGACUGUGGCUUACAUACUUGGACAUGUUGUCAGGAGGAAUGAGUCCCUGGAGAAAGAAAUCAUGCUUGGCAAAGUACAGGGUCAGCGGAAAAGAGAAAGACCUUCAAUGAGAUGGAUCGACACAGUGGCUGCCAGAAUUGGCUCCAGCAUAACAAUGAUUGUGAGGAUGGCACAGGACCUAGCAGUGUUUCAUUCUGUGGUAUAUAGGGUCACUAUGAGUCGGAACUGACUCGAUGGCACCUAACAACAACAACAACAUACUGUCAUCAAGGCCACUUGCUGGGGGGUUGAACAAACUAGCAAAUCAACACACUGCAGUAAUGUGGAUUUGUUUGAAAACUGUAAAGUCUGAAAAUCUGCAUGCAGAAUCUAAGAGAAAUAGAUGGGAGAUUCAGUAAAUUCUUGGGACAUUACAGUUCACCUAAAUUAUUGAUUUUCCCGGGUAAAGCAUAUGAACAUUGACUUUCAAAGUGGACAGCAAUACUGAAAAAGAUACUGCAAAGACCCACAGCCAUAAAAUGAGUUGCAUCUGAAGGGACAUUGGAGAGUAAUAAAUAAGGACUAGGAUCUACCAGGAAUCUAGGAGAACAAUACAGUUGAUUGCACACAAAUCUUGAACAUAUCUCCAACCCCUAUUAUUUGUUUUUUUAAUUGGAAGAACAGGAGAAUUACUAGGGCUUAUACAUUUUUUAUACAUAGGACCGUUAAACCUUUAGAAAGUUAGUCUUGUAUAGUGGGAGCUAGUCCUUCUUUUGCUUCUUGUUUGAGUGGAUACUAGGGAAUUUUUGACAGAGGUUUGAAUAAAUCUGUUUGAAUUUUAAUUGGCUCAGCUGACAAAGCUUGAUGUACAUCUGUGGAUGUGGUGGCCCAUAACGUUUCGGGAACUAGGGAAAAGAUGUCAGAAGGGAGAGGACUAGGCUGAGGUGAAUUUUGGAGAGGCAUGACAAGUCCUCACAUACAGCAAAUGGCUUCUUUGGGAAUAUUGUCUAAUUCAGAGGCUGUCUCUGUUUACUUAGGGAUAUCAGCCAGACUCAAUAAUAUUUCCCCAUUUUCAUUAAAUUGUAAAUGGCAAUUCCAUUGGAUAAAAGAUCUCUUCCCAAUAAAUUGACAGGGGUACUGGAGCUCAGCCAAAAAAGCAUAUAAAUCUUCAGUAGGACCAAGAGAUAACAGAACAGGUUGGGUAUGAAUCAAUGCUUGUUUCUGAUUUGUGACCUCCACCACUUCUGAGAUUUUAGUACUUCGGGGCUUUUGUAAAUAGGUGGGGUUAAUAGCAGACAGGGUGCAUCCAUUGUCAAAUAAAAAAAUGGCAGGUUCUCCUUUAAUAAAUAAUUUCUCCUUGUGGAUUAAAAGCCAUCACAGGAAAAGUCCCUGUUCUUCUCUGAAGCCCCUUCAUUCUGCAUCAGAUUGUAGGAUUUUCUUUUUAAGGGUGGUAUGUCAGUCUUUUAAUUUUAAUUUACAGCAUUCAUUUUUCCAGUGGCCAGGUUUUUUACAAUAGUGACAAAUACCUGCCUUUUUGCCAGGUUUAGCAUUUUUCUUUUGACUGGGAGAUUGUAGUUGUUGCAACUACAAAGGGCUAUUAAUUUAUUAGCCUUAGAAACCCUUUCAGCUUCAAGAGCCUGGGAAAGUUUGUAAGCUAAGUGGGUUAGCUUUGCAAUAGGAGCUGUCUCCCAGUCUAAUCGAUGUUGCUUUACUAAGACUGAGAUCUCAGGUUUAAGAUGGAAUAUGAAAAUAGUAUUGAAAGCACUGGAGACACCAAGCUCCUUCAAAGUGAGGCCAGAGCUUUCCGCUGUUCAAGUAGUGAGAAGGGUCUAGAUACAAAGAGAACAAAGGAAAGGUAGGGGGUUAAUGACUGGUGAUAGAUAAGAUCAGCUUCAGAUUGAAGUCCUGUGAAAUGUAAAGGCCAGCCACUUGGCUAGGAAGGAGUGAGUAGCCACCUAAUUGAGUCGUGCCAGCCAGUUUGGUUUUACGUGAUUGCUGCCAUGAGCACAUUUUUCUCGGAAACAAGUUGUUUACAUCUUCAUACAGUCUUCCCAGGAAAAAUGGUUUACAUCCUGACUUUUUUCUUCCUAGGAAUGCAUAUUGACCCCGUCAUUCUUACAUCUGACAUGAGUGCCUCCAGUUUGAAACUUUUUCAUUUAUGUGUCUAUGCUUCUGACUCAUGACGACCCCAUAUGUUACACAGUAGAGCUGAGCUCCAUAGGAUUUUCUUGGCUGCGCUCUACAGAAACAGAUCAUCAGGCCAUUCUGAUGCACCUCCGGGCAGAUGCCAGCCUCCAGCCUCCCAGCUAGCAGCCAAGUGUGUUAACCACUUGCACCACCCAGAGAUUCCCUGAGCACACAGACAAAAAAAACAGACAGGGUGGGCAAAUGAGGCUGACACCCGGGGUUCCCAGCAGUCAGAAUCUACUCAAUGGCAACAGGUUUCAUUUAGGUAUUUUUUAAACUUCCCAGUUCUCCUACCUAGAAUAUGUACAACACAUUCCCUUCUCUACCCUCACAGAGAGAGUUGAACUCUCCAACCCCUCAUUCCAGAUGCAGCUCCUAAGACUCAGCUGAUCCAGAGCCACAGACAACUACUGAGCCAGAAGGUAGAUUAGGAGAUACUAUAUUUUUACCCGAGUAAUACAUGCCUUCUGCAUUUGUUUGCCAACCACACCCUCCCACCAUGAGGUAUUUUCAUAAGUGCUGUUAUGCCAUUUUUUUUUUUUACAUGUUGCUGUAAAAAAAUUAGCAUAGUGUACUUACAAAAAUACCUCUGAGGGAAGGGCAUGGUUGGCAAACAAACAUAGAAUAUGCACGUUAUUUGCAUUAAAAAUACGGUACUCCAACUGAAGUUGGAUAUAAGGAGUAAUAUUCCUUAAUAUUUCUUUCAUCAAGGCCUUGACUUACGGUAUAUCUAGGAACAUUUAUUUCCAACCAACACUGACUAACAGAGACUAUAUGGACCCUCACUCCUGAAACAACUGAAAAAAACAGGAAAAAAAAAAAAAAAGAAA
Molecule: RNA transcript, 14217 nt
Organism: Loxodonta africana (African savanna elephant)
Lineage: Eukaryota; Metazoa; Chordata; Mammalia; Proboscidea; Elephantidae
Gene: NAMPT
Gene name: nicotinamide phosphoribosyltransferase
Exons: 12
Source: RefSeq, a predicted model, not a curated record